CGGGGGGCUGCAGCAGUGGGGAAUAUUGGACAAUGGGGGAAACCCUGAUCCAGCAAUGCCGCGUGUGUGAAGAAGGCCUGCGGGUUGUAAAGCACUUUCGGUUGGGAGGACUGCUUCUAGCACUAAUAUUGUUGGAAGUUGACGUUACCUUCAGAAGAAGCACCGGCUAACUCCGUGCCAGCAGCCGCGGUAAUACGGAGGGUGCAAGGGCUAAUCGGAAUUACUGGGCGUAAAGCGCGCGUAGGCGGCUAGAUCAGUCGGGUGUGAAGGCCCCGGGCUUAACCUGGGAACUGCAUCCGAUACUGUCUAGCUUGAGUACAGGAGAGGAGAGUGGAAUUCCACAUGUAGCGAUGAAAUGCGUAGAUAUGUGGAGGAACACCAAUGGCGAAGGCAGCUCUCUGGCCUGAUACUGACGCUGAGGUGCGAAAGCGUGGGGAGCAAACAGGAUUAGAUACCCCGGUAGUC
This 465-nucleotide ribosomal RNA is filed under the name uncultured bacterium. Its description in RNAcentral is "partial 16S ribosomal RNA". It matches the Rfam family "Bacterial small subunit ribosomal RNA", at positions 339 to 795 of the family's 1533-position model. The record is from RNAcentral.